This 1474-nucleotide long non-coding RNA is filed under the name Felis catus (domestic cat). Its description in RNAcentral is "lncRNA (ENSFCAG00000043204.2)". The record is from RNAcentral. Lineage: Eukaryota; Metazoa; Chordata; Mammalia; Carnivora; Felidae.
AUGAAAUUGUUUUGGAAGGGAUGAGGAGAGCAGGAAGUUCCUGAGUCUAAAGGAGUGGAAGAGUGUGACCAGAGUGCUGGUAUGAGAUGGCAAGAGAGCUCAACGCUGAAAGAGAAUUAGAGGACACAGCAAGAAACUGCCCAUUUAUGCCACGUGAAAGGCACUGUGGAAGAAGAAGGACCCAGGAAGAGAAGAGUGCAAAGAAAACUUCAUCUGAAAUAAGCAAGGUAUUUUUUCAAGCCAUAAAAACAAAAAGAAGCUCACCCUCAGCAAAAGUUAAGGAAUAUACAUUAAAAAAAUAUCAUACUUUCUCUCAUAGGAUUGAGAAAAAUUAGAAAGACUAAUAACAUUUAAAAUUAGCAAAGAUACAGAGACACUCUCAUCUGCUGCUUGGGAGAGUGUAAAUUGUUACAAUUAUUUGGGGGAGAAAAUUUGACAAUAUCUAUAUCAAUUUAAAAUGGGCAUAGCCAGAGAUUCCCAUUUUAAGAAUUUACCCUACAGAAAUAAUACCUUGAGAACAUAAAGAUAUAUAUGCAAAGAGGCUUGUUGCAGCAUUGUUUAUAUUUGCGAAAAAAGAAGGAGGGAGGACAAUAUAUUUCUUUACAUAUUUCUGGGUAAUAAGUUACCGCCCCCCCCAGAUUAGCAGUUCAAAACAACAAAUACUUAUUAUCUCAGAGUUUUUGAGGGUGGUGAAUUGGUAGUGGCUUAGCUGGAUGGUUCUAACUCAGGGUCGAUCAUGAGAGUACAGUCAAGAUGUUUGCCGGGAGUGCAGUCUUUGAAUGCUUGACUGGGACUGGGGAAUCUGCUUCCAAUAUGGCCCCCCAACAUGUCUGUUGGUAGAGGACCACAGUCCCUCUCCACAUGGACUACACGAACCUCUCCCUAGAGCUACUUGAGCAUUCUGAGUGACAUGGCGGCUUGCUUCUCCCAGAAUGAGUGAUCUAAGACAGAGCAAGAAUGAAGCUGGCUUCUAUGACCUAGCGUUAGAAUUUGCACACUAUCAUUUCUGCAGUAUUCUACAAUAUCAAUAUUCUACCAAUGCUCUAAUAUUCCAAGUCAUCAAGUCCAGUCUAAGCUCAAGAGAAAGUGAUUUUGUCUCCACUUUUUGGAGGGAAGAGUGUUGAGUGAUUUGGGGACAUAUUUUAAAACUACUCCAACUUGUUCUCCGGCCACAAAUUAAAAUUAUUUUCACAUAGAAAACAUACUCAUCCCAGGGCACUUGGGUGGCUCACUCGGUUGAGUUUCUAACUCUUGGUUUCGGCUCAGGUCAUGGUCCCAGGGAUGUGGGAUCAAUCUCUGUGUCAGGUUCAUCAUUGAGCAUGGAACCUGUUUAAGAUUUUAGAUCUCUCCUUCCUCUGCCCCUCUCCCCUGAUUGUCUUGCUCUCUCUCAAAUAAUUGAUUGAUUGAUUGAUUGAUUGAUUGAUUGACUGAUUGAUAAAAUAAAAUAAAAUAAAAUAAAAUAAAAUAAAAUAUA